UGGAUGCCCUGGCAGUCAGAGGCGAUGAAGGACGUGCUAAUCUGCGAUAAGCGCCGGUAAGGUGAUAUGAACCGUUAUAACCGGCGAUUUCCGAAUGGGGAAACCCAGUGUGAUUCGUCACACUAUCAUUAACUGAAUCCAUAGGUUAAUGAGGCGAACCGGGGGAACUGAAACAUCUAAGUACCCCGAGGAAAAGAAAUCAACCGAGAUUCCCCCAGUAGCGGCGAGCGAACGGGGAGGAGCCCAGAGCCUGAAUCAGCAUGUGUGUUAGUGGAAGCGUCUGGAAAGGCGCGCGAUACAGGGUGACAGCCCCGUACACAAAAGCGCAUGUGCUGUGAGCUCGAUGAGUAGGGCGGGACACGUGGUAUCCUGUCUGAAUAUGGGGGGACCAUCCUCCAAGGCUAAAUACUCCUGACUGACCGAUAGUGAACCAGUACCGUGAGGGAAAGGCGAAAAGAACCCCGGCGAGGGGAGUGAAAAAGAACCUGAAACCGU
This 495-nucleotide ribosomal RNA is filed under the name Salmonella enterica subsp. enterica. RNAcentral's name for it is "partial 23S ribosomal RNA". It matches the Rfam family "Bacterial large subunit ribosomal RNA", at positions 25 to 559 of the family's 2925-position model. The record is from RNAcentral. Lineage: Bacteria; Pseudomonadati; Pseudomonadota; Gammaproteobacteria; Enterobacterales; Enterobacteriaceae.